UUUUUUAAUUGAAAGCUUGUAUGAAUGGUUGAACAAAAUAUUAACUGUCUCAUAAAAAAUGAUAUAAUUUUAUUUUUUAGUUAAAAAGCUAAAAUAUAUUUAAAGGACGAGAAGACCCUAUAGAUCUUUAUAAUUAAUUUUUUUAUAAUUUAUUUAGAAAUAUAAAAAUUUUAUUAGUUUAAUUAUUUUAUUGGGGUGAUAAUAAAAUUUAACAAACUUUUAUAUUUAUAAACAUAAAUUAAUGAGUAAAUGAUCCAAUAUUAUUGAUUAAAAAAUUAAGUUACCUUAGGGAUAACAGCGUAAUUUUUUUGGAGAGUUCAUAUCGAUAAAAAAGAUUGC
This 339-nucleotide ribosomal RNA is filed under the name Mycetobia divergens. RNAcentral's name for it is "partial 16S ribosomal RNA". Lineage: Eukaryota; Metazoa; Arthropoda; Insecta; Diptera; Anisopodidae. The record is from RNAcentral.